CCAGACUCCUACGGGAGGCAGCAGUCGGGAAUAUUGCGCAAUGGAGGAAACUCUGACGCAGUGACGCCGCGUGCAGGAAGAAGGUUUUCGGAUUGUAAACUGCUUUAGACAGGGAAGAAACAAGACAGUACCUGUAGAACAAGCAUCGGCUAACUCCGUGCCAGCAGCCGCGGUAAUACGGAGGAUGCGAGCGUUAUCCGGAUUUAUUGGGUUUAAAGGGUGCGCAGGCGGCACGGCAAGCCGGCGGUCAAAUCGCGGGGCUCAACCCCGCCCAGCCGUCGGAACUGCCGGGCUAGAGUGGGCGAGAAGUGCGCGGAAUGCGUGGUGUAGCGGUGAAAUGCAUAGAUAUCACGCAGAACUCCGAUUGCGAAGGCAGCGCACCGGCGCCCUGCUGACGCUCAGGCACGAAAGCGUGGGUAUCGAACAGGAUUAGAUACCCGCGUAGAA
RNAcentral lists this ribosomal RNA (447 nucleotides) under uncultured bacterium. Its description in RNAcentral is "bacterial SSU rRNA". It matches the Rfam family "Bacterial small subunit ribosomal RNA", at positions 331 to 795 of the family's 1533-position model. The record is from RNAcentral.